RNAcentral lists this non-coding RNA (437 nucleotides) under Triticum aestivum (bread wheat). RNAcentral describes it as "Bacterial small subunit ribosomal RNA". It matches the Rfam family "Bacterial small subunit ribosomal RNA", at positions 100 to 536 of the family's 1533-position model. The record is from Rfam by way of RNAcentral. Lineage: Eukaryota; Viridiplantae; Streptophyta; Magnoliopsida; Poales; Poaceae.
GUGGGUGAACCACACGUGCGCGUACGGGGCCAAGCCGCGACCCCAUGCCACCGCCGCUCCGGUGCUGGUUCAUUCUCGAAACCCUCGGUCCCCUUUCUCUUCCCCGAGGAACAUCACUUCCACCAUUGCGUUCUAUAGUUUAUAUUAGCUAGUUGGUGAGGUAAUAGCUUACCAAGGCGAUGAUGAGUAGCUGGUCCGAGAGGAUGAUCAGCCACACUGGGACUGAGACACGGCCCAGACCCCUACAGGAGGCAGCAGUGAGGAAUUUUCCGCAAUGGGCGAAAGCCUGACGGAGCAAUGCCGCGUGGAGGUGGAAGGCCUACGGGUCGUCAACUUCUUUUCUCGGAGAAGAAACAAUAUUAGGGUGAUAAAAUUGGCAACCUAGGUAUACGCGUAGGACUUGUAAACUGAAACGGAGGUAGUAUUAUGUAUUAGUA